AUCAUGGCUCAGGAUGAACGCUAGCUACAGGCUUAACACAUGCAAGUCGAGGGGAAACGAUAGAGAAAGCUUGCUUUUUCUAGGCGUCGACCGGCGCACGGGUGAGUAACGCGUAUCCAACCUGCCCAUCACUUGGGGAUAACCUUGCGAAAGUAAGACUAAUACCCAAUGACGUCUCUAGAAGACAUCUGAAGGAGAUUAAAGAUUUAUCGGUGAUGGAUGGGGAUGCGUCUGAUUAGCUUGUUGGCGGGGUAACGGCCCACCAAGGCGACGAUCAGUAGGGGUUCUGAGAGGAAGGCCCCCCACAUUGGAACUGAGACACGGUCCAAACUCCUACGGGAGGCAGCAGUGAGGAAUAUUGGUCAAUGGGCGAGAGCCUGAACCAGCCAAGUCGCGUGGAGGAAGACUGCCCUACGGGUUGUAAACUCCUUUUACCUGGGAAUAACGGGCGCUACGCGUAGCGCUGUGCAUGUACCGGGAGAAUAAGCAUCGGCUAAUUCCGUG
This 504-nucleotide ribosomal RNA is filed under the name uncultured bacterium. RNAcentral describes it as "bacterial SSU rRNA". It matches the Rfam family "Bacterial small subunit ribosomal RNA", at positions 16 to 507 of the family's 1533-position model. The record is from RNAcentral.